UGGGGAAUAUUGGACAAUGGGGGAACCCUGAUCCAGCCAUGCCGCGUGUGUGAAGAAGGCCUUAUGGUUGUAAAGCACUUUAAGCGAGGAGGAGGCUCUUUUGGUUAAUACCCAAGAUGAGUGGACGUUACUCGCAGAAUAAGCACCGGCUAACUCUGUGCCAGCAGCCGCGGUAAAUACAGAGGGUGCGAGCGUUAAUCGGAUUUACUGGGCGUAAAGCGUGCGUAGGCGGCUUUUUAAGUCGGAUGUGAAAUCCCCGAGCUUAACUUGGGAAUUGCAUUCGAUACUGGGAAGCUAGAGUAUGGGAGAGGAUGGUAGAAUUCCAGGUGUAGCGGUGAAAAUGCGUAGAGAUCUGGAGGAAUACCGAUGGCGAAGGCAGCCAUCUGGCCUAAUACUGACGCUGAGGUACGAAAGCAUGGGGAGCAAACA
This 429-nucleotide ribosomal RNA is filed under the name uncultured Acinetobacter sp. RNAcentral's name for it is "bacterial SSU rRNA". It matches the Rfam family "Bacterial small subunit ribosomal RNA", at positions 355 to 774 of the family's 1533-position model. Lineage: Bacteria; Pseudomonadati; Pseudomonadota; Gammaproteobacteria; Moraxellales; Moraxellaceae. The record is from RNAcentral.